This 253-nucleotide ribosomal RNA is filed under the name uncultured bacterium. RNAcentral's name for it is "partial 16S ribosomal RNA". It matches the Rfam family "Bacterial small subunit ribosomal RNA", at positions 524 to 776 of the family's 1533-position model. The record is from RNAcentral.
UACGUAGGGUGCAAGCGUUAAUCGGAAUUACUGGGCGUAAAGCGUGCGCAGGCGGUUGUGCAAGACAGGUGAGAAAUCCCCGGGCUUAACCUGGGAACUGCACUUGUGACUGCACAGCUGGAGCACGGCAGAGGGGGAUGGAAUUCCGCGUGUAGCAGUGAAAUGCGUAGAUAUGCGGAGGAACACUGAUGGCGAAGGCAGUCCCCUGGGCCUGUACUGACGCUCAUGCACGAAAGCGUGGGGAGCAAACGGG